Molecule: ribosomal RNA, 458 nt
Filed under: uncultured bacterium
Lineage: Bacteria
Description: partial 16S ribosomal RNA
Rfam family: Bacterial small subunit ribosomal RNA
Source: RNAcentral
CCUACGGGUGGCAGCAGUGAGGAAUAUUGGUCAAUGGCCGGAAGGCUGAUCCAGCCAAGCCGCGUGAAGGACGAAGGUGCCAAGCAUUGUAAACUUCUUUUGUCAAGGGACAACAUCAGGCUCGAGAGCCUGACCGAGGGUACUUGCAGCAAAAGCAUCGGCUAACUCAGUGCCAGCAGCCGCGGUAAUACGGAGGUUGCGAGCGUUAUCCGGAUUUAUUGGGGUAAAGGGGUGCGUAGGCGGACUGUUAAGUCAGCGGAAAAAGCCCGGGGCUCAACCCCGGCGAGCCGUUGAAACUGGCUGUCUUGAGAUGUCGAGAGGUAUGCGGAAUGCGCGGUGUAGCGGUGAAAUGCUUAGAUAUUGCGCAGAACUCCGAUGGCGAGGGCAGCAUACCGGCGGCGAUCUGACGCUGAGGCACGAAAGCGUGGGUAUCGAACAGGAUUAGAUACCCAGUAGUC